GACGAACGCUGGCGGCGUGCUUAACACAUGCAAGUCGAACGGAAAGGCCCUGCUUUUGUGGGGUGCUCGAGUGGCGAACGGGUGAGUAACACGUGAGUAACCUGCCCUUGACUUUGUGAUAACUUCACGAAACUGGGGCUAAUACCGGAUAGGAGCUCCUGCUGCAUGGUGGGGGUUGGAAAGUUUCGGCGGUUGGGGAUGGAUUCGCGGCUUAUCAGCUUGUUGGUGUGGUAGUGGCUUACCAAGGCUUUGACGGGUAGCCGGCCUGAGAGGGUGACCGGCGACAUUGGGCCUGAGAUACGGCGCAGACGCGUACGGGAGGCAGCAGUGGGGAAUAUUGCGCAGUGGGCGGGAGCCUGAGGCAGCGACGCUGGGUGCGGGAUGACGUCCUUCGGGUGGUAAACCGCUUUGGCCGGUGACGAAGCGUGAGUGACGGUAAUGGGUAAAGAAGCACCGGCUAACUACGUG
RNAcentral lists this ribosomal RNA (468 nucleotides) under uncultured bacterium. RNAcentral describes it as "partial 16S ribosomal RNA". It matches the Rfam family "Bacterial small subunit ribosomal RNA", at positions 28 to 507 of the family's 1533-position model. The record is from RNAcentral.